RNAcentral lists this ribosomal RNA (1337 nucleotides) under Triticum aestivum (bread wheat). Its description in RNAcentral is "partial small subunit ribosomal RNA". The record is from RNAcentral. Lineage: Eukaryota; Viridiplantae; Streptophyta; Magnoliopsida; Poales; Poaceae.
CAAAAAAAGAGUUUUUGUGUAGUGCCAUUCCCUUUAAGGGGUAAAGAGAAGAGAGAGUAAGGUGAUAAGAAAUAGAGAACGAGACCGCUGAGCGCUGGGAGGGGACCUAGGGGAGAGUCCUUUAGUGAGAGGCGGUUCUAGUUUCGUCUACUCAAUACAUCUAGAUUCGAAGGAGUUGUUCUCCUCGUUGGUCGUCGUCGGACUGUGAGUUAAUUAAUUCACUCGCUUUACGUGGUUUCUCUAAUUUUCAUUCGUGUUUUUAGUAUAGGGGGUUUUCCGGUUUUGAUAUAAAUGAAGUUGACAAGAAAGAGGGGAUUCAUGUUGUGAACUUGAUAUUGUACAAAACUAAAAAAUGUUUACAUUAAGUAAGAAAGAUAGGUGGUCCAGUGACUUUAAUUGGUAUGGUCAGAUGAUUAGUUCAAAUAUAGUCUUGAUUUACUCCUCGUCAUCGACUAUCAAGCAUUUGAACUCAAGCCAAGAAACGAAGUAUAGAGUACGCUGACGUAUAACCUACUGUAUAAACUUACCAAUCUUCGUCAAGUUGUGUUGAUGUACGUCUUAACUUGAUUCCUUACCAAAGUUCAAGGUAAAGUGGGUUAGACGACAGGUGUUUUAGGAUCCGUAAGGUACACCCCCAAAAGGUUAUGUUUGUUUUGGAUGGUUUGUUUGAUAACUAAAGUACUUAUGUAAAGAACUUUGUUGUUUUGGUUGGGGUCUUGUAAACGAGAGUUACAACAGAAACGUUUCCAACUGGUGGGAGUGGUAGAUGCUAAGCAGCGUAAGGAGUCACCGAAACGAGUACUCUAACACAACAAACUACCGCUUAAGAGACCAUUACUCUUUGACGAGGUCAUACAGCAGCGCCACUUCCGGUUCCUUUUGACCUACACACGAAUCUCGACCUCCUUAGCGACAAAACCACCUGAAAACUCGUUCUUCGACAACCCCGACAAUCCAGAGGACUGCUAAGCCACAACUUCAUACCGCUCAAGCUACACUCCCACGAAAAACGAGGGUUCCUGAAGUGACACCAACCGACUUUGGACUUCCCUUCACUGCUUCUACGGGGGUAAGAUAUUAUAGGCACUAAAUAGACCAGCCUUAAACUUAAAAGAAACAUUCGGGAGUAAACCGUCUUGUCGUCUGUAAACUCCUGAAUGAGACACCAAAUUUAUACAAGUUGACGUUGUCUUCAAGCUCCGGACUGUACAUACCAGAGAUUUAUUACAAUUUUGACGAAUAUACACACGUUUUGACAAUCUCUCUACCACCAAACAUCAUACAAAACUCGAGAAUAUCAAAUGGAGAUUCACCAAAAAACUUAUCGCUUAAAAUCG